AUUCAGAAGAGUUUGUUCAAACGCGUUUCUAGAGUUACCGAAAAGUUGAAAGUUUAUUUUAAAUUGUGUGCAUUGAAUUGUAGAUUUUCUGCAAUUUUAAGUAUACUACGAUAAAUACAUGUAAAACAAAUUUAUUUAAAACCGUCUAUUGUUGAAAGUAAUUCUGAUAUAGCUAUUUCGUAGCAAAUCUUCGGUAUCAAUUUGCUGUUGAAAAUUGAGGUUAUACGUCCGUACCCAUUGGAGUGUAGCGGCGAUUGAAUAUUUCUUCAGUGACUAAUAAGCAAAAUUACUGAUGAAAAAUUUGUUAAUUAAACAGCAGUGUUUUCAUUUAAACUCUUGAUAAAAAGAGUAAGGUAUCAACCAUUUAUUGCCAAUGCAUUUUGCUAAUUAGAAGUAUUGACAAGUGUUUGUGUAUUAACAAGUGUCUAGUGUACGUUUGUAUUAAAGCAUAAUUGCAUUGACUUAAAUCGAAAACAUUUCUGGUGCGCCUUCAAUACAAAAAUUUCUGUAAAUUAAACGUCCAUUCUGUUUAGGCGGACGCAAAUGUGUAUGGCUAUUGUGCUGGUUAGACCUGUUCCUACAUCUAUGGAGUUUCAUCUAGACAGUGCAGAAUACUGCCAAGCACAGCACAAAUAAAAAGGAAAAGAGUUUGCAAAACAGCGAAAGAAACGUAAAAAGGACGAGAGUUGGAACUUGUUGGAAGCGCGUCCAGUUGGGAGACAGUUAGACAGGAGAUAGCAGUGAUAGCGCGCGGUACGAGAAAGCAAGCGAGAUUUAGCGUAGAAACAAUUUUCGAAUUUUCUUUAAAACAACAAACUAAUUGGAUUUUCAAACAAGUGUUUACUGAGGCAGUAAGAAAGAGAGAAAGCUACUACAAAAAGCGCGCAUAUCAGAAGAAUUGGUAUAUACAAUUUCGGUUUUAGCUAAAACAAACAAACAAAACAAGCAAAAGAAAGCAAAAAGCAACGAAAAGAGCAGAUUAAUUGACAGAAUUAUCGCGAAAUUAAAUUGUAUAAUUUAAGAGUAAUUGUUGUACAAUUAAAGAGUAAUUGCUAUACAAUUGAAGAGUAAUUAAACUACAACUACUAAAAAGUCAACAGGGAUUUCGUAACGGCUGAAAAUCAGGCAGGUUUUGUGCAAACAAACAACAACAAAAAAGCAAG
Bactrocera tryoni is the source of this 1163-nucleotide long non-coding RNA. RefSeq lists it as uncharacterized. NCBI's taxonomy places the organism in Eukaryota, Metazoa, Arthropoda, Insecta, Diptera, Tephritidae. The transcript has 3 exons. The record is from RefSeq and is a predicted model, not a curated record.